UACGUAGGGUGCAAGCGUUGUCCGGAAUUAUUGGGCGUAAAGAGCUCGUAGGCGGUUUGUCGCGUCUGCUGUGAAAGCCCGGGGCUCAACCCCGGGUCUGCAGUGGUACGGCAGUCUUGAGUGCGGUAGGGGAGAUUGGAAUUCCUGGUGUAGCGGUGGAAUGCGCAGAUAUCAGGAGGAACACCGAUGGCGAAGGCAGAUCUCUGGGCCGUUACUGACGCUGAGGACGAAAGCAUGGGUAGCGAGCAGGAUUAGAUA
This 258-nucleotide ribosomal RNA is filed under the name uncultured prokaryote. Its description in RNAcentral is "partial 16S ribosomal RNA". It matches the Rfam family "Bacterial small subunit ribosomal RNA", at positions 524 to 784 of the family's 1533-position model. The record is from RNAcentral.